UGGCCGUGCCCGAGGAAGUGA
Molecule: unclassified non-coding RNA, 21 nt
Filed under: Mus musculus (house mouse)
Lineage: Eukaryota; Metazoa; Chordata; Mammalia; Rodentia; Muridae
Description: oocyte_clustered_small_RNA10795
Source: RNAcentral